RNAcentral lists this ribosomal RNA (285 nucleotides) under uncultured marine eukaryote. Its description in RNAcentral is "partial 18S ribosomal RNA". It matches the Rfam family "Eukaryotic small subunit ribosomal RNA", at positions 613 to 897 of the family's 1831-position model. The record is from RNAcentral.
UUGCAGUUAAAAAGCUCGUAGUUGGAUUUCUGUGGGGACGGAGCGGCCGGCCGCUACUAGCGGUUCGAGCUAGCGCUUUCCCUACAUCCUGCCGCGAACCGUGCUACCAUUAGUUUGGUGGCGCCGGGGAUCGGCUCGUUUACUUUGAGAAAAAUAGAGUGUUCAAAGCAGGCCACACGCCUUGAAUAAGUUAGCAUGGAAUAAUAACUAAGGACUUCGGUUCUAUUUUUGUUGGUGUUCGGGACUGAAGUAAUGAUUGAUAGGGACAGUUGGGGCGGUCCGUAU